Molecule: transfer RNA, 87 nt
Filed under: Megalops atlanticus (tarpon)
Lineage: Eukaryota; Metazoa; Chordata; Actinopteri; Elopiformes; Megalopidae
Rfam family: tRNA
About the family: Transfer RNA (tRNA) molecules are approximately 80 nucleotides in length. Their secondary structure includes four short double-helical elements and three loops (D, anti-codon, and T loops). Further hydrogen bonds mediate the characteristic L-shaped molecular structure. tRNAs have two regions of fundamental functional importance: the anti-codon, which is responsible for specific mRNA codon recognition, and the 3' end, to which the tRNAs corresponding amino acid is attached (by aminoacyl-tRNA synthetases). tRNAs cope with the degeneracy of the genetic code in two manners: having more than one tRNA (with a specific anti-codon) for a particular amino acid; and 'wobble' base-pairing, i.e. permitting non-standard base-pairing at the 3rd anti-codon position.
Source: Rfam by way of RNAcentral
CCUUCGAUAGCUCAGUUGGUAGAGCGGAGGACUGUAGAUGCUAUAUCGGUAAUCCUUAGGUCGCUGGUUCGAAUCCGGCUCGAAGGA